CAGCUUCUUCUUGCCUGCGGACGGCCGUGGCCAGAGGAGAAGAAGGACGAUGAGAGAUGCGCGGAGGAACAUCGGAUGCCCGCGGGCUGAGCGAGCAACCCGCAAAGGACUUCUGCACAUCACCAGCAUGGUUCAAGGCCUCUGUAGCGGAUCCCCCCAUCCCUGGGAGGCCGGAUGAUGGCACAGCCUGG
This is a long non-coding RNA of Scatophagus argus, 191 nucleotides long. RefSeq lists it as uncharacterized. NCBI's taxonomy places the organism in Eukaryota, Metazoa, Chordata, Actinopteri, Scatophagidae. The record is from RefSeq and is a predicted model, not a curated record. The transcript is spliced from 2 exons.